UCAUGCUGUGAUUUCUGACGUAGGUAGUGAAUGGAAUUCUUCAGCGAACAGAUUGGGAGGAGGCGAUAAAGAUGCCAAUUGGGGUAGUUCCAGCAGGUACAGGAAAUGGCAUGGCUAAAUCACUUCUGCAUGCUGCCAUUGAGACGUGCUCGGUUUCAAAUGCUGUAUUUGCCAUUAUCAAAGGUCACAAGCAGUCCUUGGAUGUGUGUACCAUUUUGCAAGGGGAGAAGAAAUUUUUUAGUGUCUUGUUAAUGACUUGGGGCAUGUAACAAACUUUAUAAAGCAGUGUCAAAUUUCUAAGGAACUUUUCCGGUAGCUAUCUGAUUAACUUUUCAGAAAAAAACAAAAAUCAUCAUAGGUUUAGUGGCUGACAUAGAUAUUGAGUCUGAGAAAUACAGGGAAGUGCACCCUUCGACUUCUAUGUAUGUACUGAACCAUUCCCAUUUCUUGGCA
This is a long non-coding RNA of Panicum hallii, 453 nucleotides long. RefSeq lists it as uncharacterized. The record is from RefSeq and is a predicted model, not a curated record. The transcript is spliced from 3 exons. NCBI's taxonomy places the organism in Eukaryota, Viridiplantae, Streptophyta, Magnoliopsida, Poales, Poaceae.